GAGAGAGGAGACUUAUUUGCAGCAGGCCGUAAGUGAGGGACGAGGGCGUGCGACAGCCGCCGGAGGGCCACGGAGGAGGCGGCGCAGCGCGGCCCGGCCCGGCCCCGCCCGCCAUGAGGCCGCAGCAGGCGCCCGUGUCCGGCAAGGUCUUCAUCCAGCGGGACUACAGCAGCGGCACCCGGUGCCAGUUCCAGACCAAGUUCCCCGCCGAGUUGGAGAACCGGAUUGACCGGCAGCAGUUUGAAGAAACAGUUCGUACUCUAAAUAACCUUUAUGCAGAAGCAGAAAAGCUUGGGGGCCAAUCUUACCUUGAAGGCUGUUUAGCUUGUUUGACGGCAUAUACUAUCUUUUUGUGCAUGGAAACACAUUAUGAAAAGGUUCUGAAGAAAAUCACCAAAUAUAUUCAGGAACAGAAUGAGAAGAUUUAUGCUCCACAGGGCCUCCUUCUGACAGACCCAAUUGAGAGAGGACUUCGUGUUAUUGAAAUUACCAUUUAUGAAGACAGAGGCAUGAGCAGUGGAAGAUAAACCAUGGAGUCCAAGAUUAUUUUUAUAUAUUAGACUAGCCUCCUCACAUGACUGCUCAGGCCCUGCCAUCAAUCAGUUCACAUAGAAAUGCUGUGUUGGCUGUGACCCUGAGCAAGGCACCAAACCUCCCUGUGCCUGCGGCAGCUCUCAAAUCACUGCAGUGAAAGGUCCUAACCUAUCUUCGGAAAGAGUUCUCUUAAGUGAAGUCACAGGGCCAGUCCCUGACCUAAUCUGCCGCUGACAUAUCACUGUUUGCCCUCCACGAAUAUCAUUAAAUAAAUGGGUUAAUGCUACAAAAAGAUCCAUAGACCCAGUUGUGUUGUGGUUUUCCUGGUGUUCUUUUUCUGAGUUCUCUGAAACACUGAGACUGCUCCAGCUGGCCACAGUGCAACAGUACUACCUUCGGAGCAGGAGAUGCUGGUAUUCCUUCACUUCUGCCAGUUUCUCAAAGUUAUGUGAGAUCUUUCAGGAGGCUAAAGUCUCAUUUCUCCUGUAGAUCUACUCUUGAUGACUUCCUCAACUGGUUUCUGUCACAGACUAUUCCCUGCACAGUGGCAGAAUGUGGCAAAGAUAGACAACUUCUCCCAGAUGUGGGAGGAACCACAUAGAAAGCAGAAACUUUCAUGGAGUAAAAAUGAGAACUUUUUCCUUCCUUUGCUUCAGGAUCUUGUCAGCACUUUUGAGGAACAAAGCUGUUAGUGGCUUCUGUCCAGUUUAUUUGAAACUCCUGACAAAGUUAGCCUCGCUAUUCUUAAAUGCUGUCUACUCUGGCACUGGGAAGUGUUACCUGAAUUUUCCUUAAAACCCAAAUAAUGAUGCCUGUGCCAUAUGUUUAGUUGUUAUAAAAAGCCUCAGAUAGCAGAGUACUUUGGAAUAUGUAGUGUUACUUGUCCAUACAGUUUCUGAUUUGCAGUUUCCUAACUGAUUUCUAAAAAUGAGCAAUCAGAAACCUUGUGUGGCUUUUGUUACAUGCCAUUCGAAUAAAUUUGUUUUAUCAAUUGCAGCUGCGUUGACUUGGCACAAUUCAUUUGUCAUGACUCAUUUUGCAGCUAUUAUUGCUAAACAAUGUUUUUCUGAGGUAGUGUGGGGUUUUGAGCAAUUAUACACAAGAGGCUAAUCUAUCAAUGUUCAAACAACUGUGAAAUUUUUGAAAUGGGAAAGAUUUACAUUAGGAACUUCUGGAUAGUUUCAUGAAUUGCAAAUGUUUUUGUUCAGCACAAUUGUGUUUUUAGAGCUGUGUGUUCAUCAGGAGCAAAACCCAGAAAGGGCUGGGAGCUUGUCAAACAGCUGUAUGAAUGUGUGUGAGGGCAUGUGAAAGUGCACUUAAUGCUUCACCAAUCCCCGCCACACACACACACACCACCCCAAGCUCCACACCUCAAAUCUGCAAGUUGGCUGGAGAUUAAAGUUAGUGUUUGGGGAUUAAGUGUAUAUUUUAAUGAAGGAAUAUACAAAAGGAAGAUGACCUUCAUGAAAAGAACUUUCAGUAAAAAGUAGCAUUUUGUCACUUUUUUGUUAAUCUUUUGUAAAGUACUGGAAAAGUAGAAAGCAUUUUGCAAAUGUGCCAAUGCUCUCUCUAUCCCUCACAGCCCUGUGAGGUACCUGAUGUUAUCUCUGUCAGGCUUCUCAUGUGAAAAAGAAAUGAUUUGCUCAAUGUCACAAUAAAAUAAUGACUUUUUAAAAUUUUGAGUUCACGAUAUUUGCUUUCUAGGUCAUUGAGCUAGAUGAAAUAUAAGCUCUUGCAAAUCCAGAAAACCCACCAGAGUCCAUCUCAGAAUGGGACUCUUCUGUCCACCGGCCAACUGCAGAGUGUCCCCUACCUCCUCUCCAAGCAUCAUUCCUUUGUAUCUGCUGCCAGAGCCACGGUGCCAUUCUACUCCAAGGACUAACUUUCUAAAAUUCCGCUCCUGGGGUGACAUCUAGUCACUUAGCAUCCACUUUGUGUCUUUAAACUGUGUAGGACUCUGUAAUCUUUGUAGUUAUUUCUGAGAAAAUAUAAUGAAGCAUUUCGCUUUUUUAAUUCAAAACAAUUUAAUAAAAUGAGCUGUGUAAAUCAGCCCAAUCCAAAAUCCAUUUAUCUGCCACCAGGACUGUUGGUUCUGCUCAGUAUUUAUGGUGUCCUCUCUACAGGUGGUUUUUUUUUUUAUUUCAGCAAGUCAUAUCCAGGUUUGGUUUCAUUUUCCCUGAAUUGAAUGUUUUUUUCUUCCGGGUAUGGUUUUUGAUGAGGGGUAAGCUAUGCCUGUGGCCUGCUGACACAUCUCCUAGACCUCAAGGAACUCAAAGGAUUUCCAGAAGAUGUUUCUACUAUUAGUUUCUCAUACUGAAGCUCAUUGGAAAGAUAAUAUAUAAUGCUAUUUGUUUUCAAUGUAGCACUUAUUUACUAAGUGAACCAGUAUUUCAUGUGAUUUCCAGUUACCUUGAUUCUCCUUGGAGAAUUUUAUCAUUACUGCAUUGCCAUGAACGUUGGGAGGAUGUAGUAUGUGUUGCUUGUUUUAUUAAAACUAUGUAAGCACAAUAAAGUGGAUGCUAAACCAUCAGACCUAUAGACAUCCUUGCUCUGUCCCUUAAUGUGUAAUAAGCAAGUGUAAUGAACAUUUUCCUUAUGGCUUUAUUAUAAAUAUAACUUAUGGGGGAAAUAAUUUGGUAGGAAUAAUACUGUAUGUGCUCAUUUUUUUUAAACUAUUUCCACUGGCAAAACUUAUGAAUCAUAAAUGUUUCUUGAAUUCAGUAUUCAGGAUGCACAUAAAUCUUGUAAUUAGUUCAGGUAAAAUAAUAUGAAUGUUUCCUGAGUAAAAUUCCUAAAAAUCUAAUUUAAUAUUUGUUUCUCUUCUACCUACAUUCUUCAUGACAGUAUUUUCCAAGACCUUGAAAUUAAGUUAAUCGUUAUGGCUUGAGAGCAUUGUUCUUUGGAAAGAGCUAAGGGAUUUACUAGAAAAGAAUUAAAGUUCUACUCCCAGUGAUUGUAGGUGCUAAUACUGGAUCUAAUCUUCCAGAUUUAAUUUCUGUUAUGGAUUUGUUAGUCAUUCAUCUAAACCCCAGAGGCUUGUUUAAUAUUUUAAUUGUAUAAAACCCUUUUUGUUUUUCUAUGGCGUGUAAUCGUAUGUCUGUCUGCCUUUCACACCCAUUGCAAUAACUUUGCCCAAAUAUUAAUGCGUUAGUAAAACUUUUCUUAAAUAAAUUGUCUCUGUUAUGUUUGCUUGAUA
Molecule: non-coding RNA, 3730 nt
Organism: Phascolarctos cinereus (koala)
Lineage: Eukaryota; Metazoa; Chordata; Mammalia; Diprotodontia; Phascolarctidae
Source: RefSeq, a predicted model, not a curated record